GACGAACGCUGGCGGCGUGCCUAAUACAUGCAAGUCGAACGCUUCUUUCCUCCCGAGUGCUUGCACUCAAUUGGAAAGAGGAGUGGCGGACGGGUGAGUAACACGUGGGUAACCUACCCAUCAGAGGGGGAUAACAGGGGGAAACAGGGGCUAAUACCGCAUAACAGUUUAUGCAGCAUGGCAUAAGAGUGAAAGGCGCUUUCGGGUGUCGCUGAUGGAUGGACCCGCGGUGCAUUAGCGAGUUGGUGAGGUAACGGCUCACCCAGGCCACGAUGCAUAGCCGACCUGGGAGGGUGAUCGGCCACACUGGGACUGAGACCCGGCCCAGACUCCUACGGGAGGCAGCAGUAGGGAAUCUUCGGCAAUGGACGAAAGUCUGACCGAGCAACGCCGCGUGAGUGAAGAAGGUUUUCGGAUCGUAAAACUCUGUUGUUAGAGAAGAACAAGGACGUUAGUAACUGAACGUCCCCUGACGGUAUCUAACCAGAAAGCCACGGCUAACUACGUG
Molecule: ribosomal RNA, 508 nt
Filed under: uncultured bacterium
Lineage: Bacteria
Description: partial 16S ribosomal RNA
Rfam family: Bacterial small subunit ribosomal RNA
Source: RNAcentral